ACUUAAAUAGUUUAAUAAAAAAUAUUGAUUUGUGGUGUCAAAGUUAUAAGAAAUUUAUUUUAAGUC
RNAcentral lists this transfer RNA (66 nucleotides) under Neopanorpa pulchra. RNAcentral describes it as "tRNA-His". The record is from RNAcentral. Lineage: Eukaryota; Metazoa; Arthropoda; Insecta; Mecoptera; Panorpidae.